GGGGACGUCUUGCUUUGACGUAUACCAGCUCCUUAACAUCUGCAUACCGACUUUGACGAGAGAAGUCGUAAAACAGCGUCAAAAAACAACUGUCAAUAAAAUUUCGACAGCAGCUCGUAAAGUCGCUUCAUUCUUGAACGACCUUACCGCUCCCACAGUCAACCCCGGCUUUGCCGUAGUUGCCUAAAGGCAUUCAUAUCCCACUUGCUCGUGGGAAAGAUAUGGGUGGAAAUACACACGAGACGUAACCCCGUUCCGAUCAGGCGGGGCCAUAUCAAAGAUCACCCUCGCUUCACUCUUGGUUUGAUAAUCACCUAAGUGAAUAGAGGUUAAAAAAUAAAUUUAUCUAAGUAUGUAGAUGGUGUUAAAGACGGUACGCGGACGAGG
Molecule: transfer-messenger RNA, 387 nt
Filed under: Candidatus Collierbacteria bacterium CG17_big_fil_post_rev_8_21_14_2_50_45_7
Lineage: Bacteria; Candidatus Collieribacteriota
Description: partial transfer-messenger RNA
Rfam family: transfer-messenger RNA
About the family: Bacterial tmRNA, also known as 10Sa RNA or SsrA, is named for its dual tRNA and mRNA-like properties. Its role is to liberate the mRNA from a stalled ribosome.
Source: RNAcentral